This 325-nucleotide long non-coding RNA is filed under the name Malus domestica (apple). RNAcentral's name for it is "long non-coding RNA (MDOM_LNC020324)". Lineage: Eukaryota; Viridiplantae; Streptophyta; Magnoliopsida; Rosales; Rosaceae. The record is from RNAcentral.
UCAGUCAGAAGAAUAAAGUGUAAAUACAAUUGACGGUUAAAUAAAUUUAAGAUUUCACUACUACAAAAUUAUCUAUUGCUGGCGGUCCAAAAUUUUUUUUCAACGAUCCAACCGUCAAACUUAUUUGUACACAUUCCAAGAUUGCAUACAUAAAAAAUCUUUAAAAAACAAACAUUAAGAGAUUACGUAACGGAACAAAAGUUUUCGACGGUUAUAAACGAAAAAUCACAAUUUAACGGUUAUUUUAGCUCCGAUCUUGAUGAUUUUUUACAAAUACACUCCUCGACCUUAUAAGACUGUAAUGAAUAAAUUUGAUCUUUAAUUU